AGGGGUAUAGCUCAGCCGGUAGAGCAGCGGUCUCCAAAACCGCGUGUCCUGGGUUCGAUCCCUAGUGCCCCUGCCA
This 76-nucleotide transfer RNA is filed under the name Clostridia bacterium. Its description in RNAcentral is "tRNA-Trp". It matches the Rfam family "tRNA". From Rfam's summary of the family: Transfer RNA (tRNA) molecules are approximately 80 nucleotides in length. Their secondary structure includes four short double-helical elements and three loops (D, anti-codon, and T loops). The record is from RNAcentral. Lineage: Bacteria; Bacillati; Bacillota; Clostridia.